RNAcentral lists this ribosomal RNA (253 nucleotides) under uncultured bacterium. RNAcentral describes it as "partial 16S ribosomal RNA". It matches the Rfam family "Bacterial small subunit ribosomal RNA", at positions 524 to 776 of the family's 1533-position model. The record is from RNAcentral.
UACGUAGGUGGCGAGCGUUAUCCGGAAUUACUGGGCGUAAAGCGCACGCAGGCGGUUGGGCAAGUCUGACGUGAAAGCUCCUGGCUUAACUGGGAGAGGUCGUUGGAAACUGCUUGACUUGAGGCAAUGAGAGGGGUGUGGAAUUCCCGGUGUAGUGGUGGAAUGCGUAGAUAUCGGGGGGAACACCAGUGGCGAAAGCGGCACCCUGGCAUUGGCCUGACGCUCAUGUGCGAAAGCGUGGGGAGCGAACGGG